UACGUAGGGUCCGAGCGUUGUCCGGAGUUACUGGGCGUAAAGGGCGCGCAGGCGGCGGUGCUGGCCCGGCGUGAAAGCCCCCGGCUCAACCGGGGAGGGUCGUCGGGGACCGCACCGCUUGAGGGCGGUAGGGGCCGGUGGAAUGCCUGGUGUAGUGGUGAAAUGCGUAGAGAUCAGGCAGAACACCUGGGGCGAAGGCGGCCGGCUGGGGC
RNAcentral lists this ribosomal RNA (212 nucleotides) under uncultured bacterium. RNAcentral describes it as "partial 16S ribosomal RNA". It matches the Rfam family "Bacterial small subunit ribosomal RNA", at positions 524 to 735 of the family's 1533-position model. The record is from RNAcentral.